GUGAUAAAGCUUGUUAUAUUCAUGAUUGUACUAAAUAUGAAGGCUGGCUCAGCUAAGCAUCUGCUGCACUGUCCAAUCUGUAAAAAUGUCCGCCAUUCCAUAUCGGUGAAAUGGGGCUCUGUUUGAAUGUUAAUGCUUUACGCACAAGCUAUUGUUGCGUUACUGGAUCACGGAGACCCAGGCGUUGAAUUCUGACAUCAUGUAGUACAUUAAUGCUACACGGUCAACCAAUAUGCCUUUGAACUUAAGUUGGAAAGCAAUUUAGCCCUUAUUCGGCUAUAUAAGGGUGGAGGGUCAACUUGAAAAACAACUAUUUUGGGUCAAAUCAUCUGAAUUCAUGCAUUUAAUGCACUUAUAAUCUUCUCUUUUGCUAAGAAAUGACCAAAAAUCAGCUUUACCAGUCAUAUUUUGCACUUGCAGAUGAUAUUUCAUUUUUACCUAAAGUUAGUUUAGGUUACAAUAUACCAAAAGAUUUCCUUAACAAAUUCAAUGUAAAAUCAACAACUUCAACGAAAAAUAAAGUCAAACUUUUGCGCGUAGACACCCCCAUACCCAUACCUUUUCUUAAAGAGCAUGCCAAGCCGAAUGGAUUUAAACAAUAAAAAAGAUAGGUCAUGCAGUAUGUAAGAAAGAACUCGACGCGAAUCAACGGUCACUGUUUUAAGGCCACCUUUUUACCGGCUGAUCUCCAGUUGAUGAGGGUUUCCCGCCAUCUGUCAAAAUCUCAUGUAGUCUCCAACCUAUAAGCAAAACACUGAAUUUGUAGUAUACAACAAUGUUUUCCCUACCACAUGCACACAGAAAUAUUCAAAAAUAAAGUCAUGGCAAGUGCACAUACAGAGAAUUGUGUCUUCAAAUAAAUGACGUUCCAUUUUUUAGAGGGUAUAGCAUUGAACACCAAAAUGAUUUAGUAUAUUGUAACCUAAAGGAGAAAUAUUUUCUGAUUAAAAUGUGUUUUUCUUGCAUAUUAUUAUCUUCCUAUUCAUAUUGCACCAAUAUAUUAAGUUUGGCUGGAUUAUCUGUCCAUUUGGCCAUUUUAUAUCAUAUUUUCACACGCUGGUGUUUUCCGUCCGAAGAAGGCGAUUUUAGGCCUGUUGGAGCUUAAAUGUCCCUUUAAGAUUUAAAGCUGUUGUGUUCAAUAUCUGCAACAAAAUACCAAAACAAACCAAAUGGAUAGGCACCUGGGGCUUAUGCGGGGUGGGAAAAGAAUGAAUUUGUUAGAUAUUUUCACUCUAAGCAAUUUUGAUAAUGUCUUUUUAGUGUUUUUUUUUUUUAAUAACCCCAAAAAUGUCAAUUUCAAAGCAAAAAAAAAUCCAAUUUCAUCCAAAACAAUAAACAAAUUAGUAAAAAUGAAAGAUCAAAGAUACUUUGAAGUGUAGAAAUCAAUAAGCUUCCAAUAACUUUUUGUUGCGCAACAAUAAAAGUGUGAAAUCUUGAAAGCGCCUUGUCGCUCGGAGCCCCUUUAUUUACCAGCAGCCAAUGAUAUAUUUUAACACAUAAUGUCAUGGGUGCCUUUAAACUGCAGCAGAUGGCCAAUAUGCACUGCCAGCUCUCAUUUAGAGGUUCAAGAGAAUACAAAAUUUUAUAUUUUGGGCAAGAAAUAAGUACUUUUGACUAUUUUUAUGGUGGCAAUCAGGUGAAAAUGGAGGUUCAUAACCGAGCGAAAGAAAAAAUGCUCAUGUUGGGGGUUUAGACCGGAAGGAAAGGUUAAAAUGAACAAGAUACAUAUAUUUAGGCAAGCAUUAUAAGCUUAGCAAUGAGGUUCCAUGUACUAGCAGGGCCAGAAAGGAGCUCAGAUCAAUGUAGGCUUCCUGAAAGGGGUUUCUAGUACUUCUUCUGGACACACAGCUUCACGCAGAAUUCUCAACACAACAAAUAUCAUCGAUCCAUGUCACCUUUGUAUGCAAAGACACGCGAAUAAGGUCAAUACUUCCCUUACAUCACUGAAUGAGAGAAUCAUGUACCAAAUAAAAAACAAAACUGGUUGCUGAAAGUGCCAAAUUUUGGCAAAAAGAUCCCACUUAGGUAAAUGAUGAAGGGGACACUUGCUGCAACAAUCCUAUGUUUAAGUCCGACGCGACAUCCUUUCAAGCCAGAACAUUAACAGUAAGCGCUAUUGUGAGAAAACAAUACCAAACACAAGCUAAUUGUAGGGUUACAAGUAGCAAAUUAACUCAGCUGUACUGCAUACAUGCUCAGGAACAAGGAUAAACCUGUUAAGUGCCAACUUCCGCUGCCAGCAAAGCACGAGCUUUACGUGUCGGGAUGCGGAACUAUAGAUUCAAACUGAACGGGGAAUUGCACAACGGCAAGGGUUUGAGUGACCACAAACCUGAUUAUGGCAGUAUUUCACACCUUAAGCAUCAUUAAUAUGCUUAUUUGCUUGUGUACAUGAUAAUAAUUUAGUAUUAUUACCUGUUUUGCCAUCAAUAACCCUUAUGCAGUGGCCCUCGGCUUAGUCGCAGACAUUCCUCUACCUGAAAAAGUCAAAAUACCCAAUUGAAAUAGAUAUAAAAUGAAAAAAACACAUGCAUUUAUGUAUUUUAAGUGUAUUUAUAAGAAUAAUAUGUAGUGAUAAAGCUUGUUAUAUUCAUGAUUGUACUAAAUAUGAAGGCUGGCUCAGCUAAGCAUCUGCUGCACUGUCCAAUCUGUAAAAAUGUCCGCCAUUCCAUAUCGGUGAAAUGGGGCUCUGUUUGAAUGUUAAUGCUUUACGCACAAGCUAUUGUUGCGUUACUGGAUCACGGAGACCCAGGCGUUGAAUUCUGACAUCAUGUAGUACAUUAAUGCUACACGGUCAACCAAUAUGCCUUUGAACUUAAGUUGGAAAGCAAUUUAGCCCUUAUUCGGCUAUAUAAGGGUGGAGGGUCAACUUGAAAAACAACUAUUUUGGGUCAAAUCAUCUGAAUUCAUGCAUUUAAUGCACUUAUAAUCUUCUCUUUUGCUAAGAAAUGACCAAAAAUCAGCUUUACCAGUCAUAUUUUGCACUUGCAGAUGAUAUUUCAUUUUUACCUAAAGUUAGUUUAGGUUACAAUAUACCAAAAGAUUUCCUUAACAAAUUCAAUGUAAAAUCAACAACUUCAACGAAAAAUAAAGUCAAACUUUUGCGCGUAGACACCCCCAUACCCAUACCUUUUCUUAAAGAGCAUGCCAAGCCGAAUGGAUUUAAACAAUAAAAAAGAUAGGUCAUGCAGUAUGUAAGAAAGAACUCGACGCGAAUCAACGGUCACUGUUUUAAGGCCACCUUUUUACCGGCUGAUCUCCAGUUGAUGAGGGUUUCCC
Long non-coding RNA from Dreissena polymorpha, 3279 nucleotides. RefSeq lists it as uncharacterized. Lineage: Eukaryota; Metazoa; Mollusca; Bivalvia; Myida; Dreissenidae. The transcript has 2 exons. The record is from RefSeq and is a predicted model, not a curated record.